UACACUCCUGCGGGAGGCAGCAGUGAGGAAUAUUGGACAAUGGGUGGAAGCCUGAUCCAGCCAUCCCGCGUGCAGGAAGACGGCCCUAUGGGUUGUAAACUGCUUUUAUCUGGGGAUAAACCUACUUACGUGUAAGUAGCUGAAGGUACCAGAAGAAUAAGCACCGGCUAACUCCGUGCCAGCAGCCGCGGUAAUACGGAGGGUGCAAGCGUUAUCCGGAUUUAUUGGGUUUAAAGGGUCCGUAGGCGGACUGAUAAGUCAGUGGUGAAAUCCGACAGCUUAACUGUCGAACUGCCAUUGAUACUGUUAGUCUUGAGUAAGGUUGAAGUGGCUGGAAUAAGUAGUGUAGCGGUGAAAUGCAUAGAUAUUACUUAGAACACCAAUUGCGAAGGCAGGUCACUAAGUCUUAACUGACGCUGAUGGACGAAAGCGUGGGGAGCGAACAGGAUUAGAAACCCCGGUAGUCCCAUGAU
This 473-nucleotide ribosomal RNA is filed under the name uncultured organism. RNAcentral's name for it is "partial 16S ribosomal RNA". It matches the Rfam family "Bacterial small subunit ribosomal RNA", at positions 332 to 801 of the family's 1533-position model. The record is from RNAcentral.